Molecule: ribosomal RNA, 407 nt
Filed under: uncultured eukaryote
Lineage: Eukaryota
Description: SSU rRNA
Rfam family: Eukaryotic small subunit ribosomal RNA
Source: RNAcentral
AGCUCCAAUAGCGUAUAUUAAUGUUGUUGCAGUUAAAAAGCUCGUAGUUGGAUUUCUGGUGGGAGCGAUCAGUCCGGCGCUAGCGUGGGUACUUGAGUCGCCUCCGGCCAUCCUUGGGGAGAAACUGUCUGGCAUUCAGUUGUCGGACAGGGGAACCUCAUCGUUUACUGUGAAAAAUUAGGGUGCUCAAAGCAGGCCGUUGCCGUUGAAUAUGUUAGCAUGGAAUAAUAAGAUAGGACCUCGGUACUAUUUUGUUGGUUUGCGUUCCGAGGUAAUGAUUAACAGGGACGGUUGGGGGCCUUCGUAUUCAGUUGUCAGAGGUGAAAUUCUUGGAUUUACGGAAGACGAACUACUGCGAAAGCAUCGGCCACGGAUGUUUUCAUUAAUCAAGAACGAAAGUUAGAACG